CAAGCAGCAGACCAGACUGCGUGAAGCUGCGUGGACUUUCUGUGCGUUUCCAACAUUAUGUGUGCGUUCUUGAGGAAAUACCACACAUGUAUACACACAUAUAUAUACACACAAACUAAAUACACACUACAUGUUGCUGUUCAACAAUCUUCAUUAAAAGAAGACAAAGAAAAUCUCUCUGUCCGAGUGCCUUGAUUCUCUAAUCGGAAUCAUAGUCCAUUAUCCACCGCCUCAACCAGCAAUCCUUCCUCUUGAGGCUCAGCCCUCAAACAUUGGUCCUUCGAGCCGGAUUGAGUGCAACCUAAGAAGAGGAUCAUGGACGAUGCAGCAUCAGGCACCUCAGAGCCCUGGAGACGUCCACAGAGAGAGCAUCGCUUGCCUGCUUACCUGGAGGACUACCACGUUGGAUUCCAGCCAUCUGCACACCUAGAUUCACCUGCUACUGUUUCCCGCUCUAGCAGCCACCACAGCAGCAACCCGAGCAGGUCAUCCAACUGGAGCUCAUACACCCAUAGCAGAUCCAGUAGGCGUACAUGCUACUCCUUUGGUACGUAUCCCACUCAGGGUCUCUCAACUGCACAAGCUGCAAUCUUGGAAGAGAGAAUAAAGCAGUUGGAGCUGGAAGAUAUCCGCCAUAUGAUGCAGCAUGAGACUCAAGCUGACUUGGAGUGUAAACUGCUGGAUGAUCAGGCCAAAGAAGCACAGCAGCUUCAAGAUGAGGCACUCAAAGCCAGAGAAGCGCUCAAUAGGCGGCUAGAGAGAGAGCAGCGCCUAACGAGGGCCGAACAGGAGCUUGAGAUCGCCAAGCUUCGUUCUUCGAUGCUUACCAAUGCUUUGCCACCUGCACCUUCAUCUGUACACUCCGACAAGUCCGACCCUUACCUGGACUUACCACCGACAGUGCAGGCAAGGCAGGCAGACACGCUUCCAUCUGCUUCCCAGCUCUCACAGUCAACUUGGUCACUUCCAACACCUGCUGCUGUUGCUCACCCCCUUAUUUCUCCCCCACAAGUGAGGCAACAAAUUAUUCCAGUCCCUACAGUGCCUCCUACUGGACUACAGCCAACGCUGCAACCUGCUGCCGUCCCAGCGAUACCUGCUCCCCUGGCAAACCCAACAGCACAGCUCCAGGGUCCAGCACCCAUGGCACUUAGGUCCGGGAGACUACAACCUGGCCCAGCAUUAGCACUCGCUCCUACAAUACAACCUGUGUUACACCCUUCAGCGCAUGUCAUCACCUCGACACCUCUGGCUCAUACUACAGCUCAGGUGGCAUCAUUUUUUGAGUCACAACGUCCUUGUGGCCCAGCACCGGCAACAAGUUCAUACUAUAACCAACCCGUGUACCAACCCGCUUACAGCCAACCAGCCAUGGAGCCACUCAACACUGCUCAGCAUGCCAGCCAAGCUCCACCACUCUUCUCGACUCACCACGGGCAACAGACUGCUCCAGUUCCCUCUGCUCCCUACCCUGGUUACACACCACUACCCGGAGCCGAGGUACUUCUUGCAUCAGCCCUUGGGAUCCCUCGACCUUCCCUGCCAGUGUUCGAGAGUGGUCGAGAGAGUGACUUUGCUCUGCUCAAGCUUGCACUAGACAACGUACUGGGAAGCAACCUUCACCUUAGUGAACAAUAUAAAUAUCAAGUGUUGAUAGGACAUAUCAAGCUGUCAAGUGCACUACAGCUUGCCAAGGUGUACAUGCAUGACCCUGCACCAUAUACGAGUGCAUUGCAGGCUCUACAAGAUAAGUACGGGCAGCCACGACAGCUGGUCCAGAGUGAGCUUGGUGCCAUACUCAACGCGCCUGCUCUUCACUGCAGCUGAGGAGGUAACCAGGGACGAGACAUUCGGGGCAGGGCUUACGCAGGCAAAGGUCAGACCCAAGCCCAAACCUUACUGUCCAUAUUGUGACAGUCACGACCACUAUCUCAAUUCCUGUGAGGAAUUCAAGAAGUUGAACACCGACCAAGUCUUGAAGUGGCUCAAGGACGGCAAACGGUGUCGGAAAUGUGGACGCAAUCACACCGAGGACCGGUGCACGCUUAAGCGCCCCUGUAAAACCUGCAAGGAAACGCACCUCAGGAAAAUGGUCAACAUACUGGCAGCUGACUUGACCGAGAAGAAUGGAACAUCACCUCCCAGACAGUUGAAAGAAAAGUACGCCAGAGGAAUUGUGACGUUAUUCCCCUACCUCAGUGACCCAUACGCUAAGAAUGGCUAUGAGCAUUACUAUGAUGGGGAGAGUGGCACUGGGUACUUGGCUUGGAGGAUUAAAACCAUUCAAAGAUCUACUGCUAAAGACAGACGAUCCUCAUUUGGAGAAUCAGCAGAAGGAUCAUCAGGUAAAGACAUGUCUGGAGGACCAACGGUCAGAAGACAGACCCAAUUUGUUACUGAGGCAUCCGUAAGUGAAGAUGAGUGCCAGGAAGCAAUGUCACUGAUGAGACAUUCAGCUGACGAGGACUUAGUCAAGAAGAAGAUGAAGCUGACAUCGCCGCAACAUGCUCCUCGAUCCCCAGCAGUCAAGUAACAUACUAUCUGACUUUCCACGUUUCAAAGACGUCAAAGGCUUGGUUGAACAGGAUUUUGUUCUGAUGUUCGGUGAGGGUGUGUCCGACAAGUUUCUGGAGCAAUGGCCAGGCACAUUCAAGAAAAAGAUCAUCCAACAAUGCAGAAAGCUUCCCAACAUCAGUGAGCUUGAAGAACUCCUGCUGGCAGCUGAUCCUCCUCUGGAUGGCAUUGACGUGGACAAUGACUUAGGUUGGGAGAGUGACCUCUCAUCGGUUUUACCGCUGUCACACCUGAUUCCACCGUCUGCCCAGGGACGGAAGAGACCAGGGAAAGUGUCCUCGUCCCAAGUAGAGAAACAUCUUGUCAAGAAUAUUGCAUCCAUUGUAACGUCCAUUGAUACACGCAAGACUCGGUUCUUUUCACAGAUGUUUAAUGUCGCACUUGUCGUCUUCAAACAGCUGCAUUCUUGCAUUCUUCAGCUUGCCAACACGUUUCACCAUGACAUCAUCACACCCAAACACCAUAGGACUAAAAUACAGACAUACAAUUAGCUCAAGCUAACUUCUGGAAGCUUCCAGGGAAUAAUCAAAGGGUCAAUCAAAGAAACAAAGCAACAGGUACAUUUACAAAAUACUACUAGAGUCCACCUUGUGGUCAAAGAGUGAAAUUACACAUAUAGUCCACAGGGCAAGAAAACACUGCCUGAAGUUACUACCAUGUUCAUGUGUGCAUAUUUCUUCCCAAUAAUAUAUAAAAAAAUAAUUAAUUAUUACAUAACAACCAAGUUAAUUUUGUUGUCUGUGUAUGUGUAUCUUCUCAGACUGGAACAAGCAUCCAAGAACAUCUCGACACCAUUACUACCAGCGCUCAACCAUAUCUCCUGGCUGUUGGAUUAAGGAAGGAUGCAAUCCACCAAUUCUUCAUCAUUCUGGAUAGGAGUGCCAUACCUUGCAGGUUGGGAGAGUGACCUCUCAUCGGUUUUACCGCUGUCACACCUGAUUCCACCGUCUGCCCAGGGACGGAAGAGACCAGGGAAAGUGUCCUCGUCCCAAGUAGAGAAACAUCUUGUCAAGAAUAUUGCAUCCAUUGUAACGUCCAUUGAUACACGCAAGACUCGGUUCUUUUCACAGAUGUUUAAUGUCGCACUUGUCGUCUUCAAACAGCUGCAUUCUUGCAUUCUUCAGCUUGCCAACACGUUUCACCAUGACAUCAUCACACCCAAACACCAUAGGACUAAAAUACAGACAUACAAUUAGCUCAAGCUAACUUCUGGAAGCUUCCAGGGAAUAAUCAAAGGGUCAAUCAAAGAAACAAAGCAACAGGUACAUUUACAAAAUACUACUAGAGUCCACCUUGUGGUCAAAGAGUGAAAUUACACAUAUAGUCCACAGGGCAAGAAAACACUGCCUGAAGUUACUACCAUGUUCAUGUGUGCAUAUUUCUUCCCAAUAAUAUAUAAAAAAAUAAUUAAUUAUUACAUAACAACCAAGUUAAUUUUGUUGUCUGUGUAUGUGUAUCUUCUCAGACUGGAACAAGCAUCCAAGAACAUCUCGACACCAUUACUACCAGCGCUCAACCAUAUCUCCUGGCUGUUGGAUUAAGGAAGGAUGCAAUCCACCAAUUCUUCAUCAUUCUGGAUAGGAGUGCCAUACCUUGCAGGUUGGGAGAGUGACCUCUCAUCGGUUUUACCGCUGUCACACCUGAUUCCACCGUCUGCCCAGGGACGGAAGAGACCAGGGAAAGUGUCCUCGUCCCAAGUAGAGAAACAUCUUGUCAAGAAUAUUGCAUCCAUUGUAACGUCCAUUGAUACACGCAAGACUCGGUUCUUUUCACAGAUGUUUAAUGUCGCACUUGUCGUCUUCAAACAGCUGCAUUCUUGCAUUCUUCAGCUUGCCAACACGUUUCACCAUGACAUCAUCACACCCAAACACCAUAGGACUAAAAUACAGACAUACAAUUAGCUCAAGCUAACUUCUGGAAGCUUCCAGGGAAUAAUCAAAGGGUCAAUCAAAGAAACAAAGCAACAGGUACAUUUACAAAAUACUACUAGAGUCCACCUUGUGGUCAAAGAGUGAAAUUACACAUAUAGUCCACAGGGCAAGAAAACACUGCCUGAAGUUACUACCAUGUUCAUGUGUGCAUAUUUCUUCCCAAUAAUAUAUAAAAAAAUAAUUAAUUAUUACAUAACAACCAAGUUAAUUUUGUUGUCUGUGUAUGUGUAUCUUCUCAGACUGGAACAAGCAUCCAAGAACAUCUCGACACCAUUACUACCAGCGCUCAACCAUAUCUCCUGGCUGUUGGAUUAAGGAAGGAUGCAAUCCACCAAUUCUUCAUCAUUCUGGAUAGGAGUGCCAUACCUUGCAGGUCAAUUUCUUCUCUAGGGGCUUUCGAUGAGCUGUUUAAGGCACAUUUUGUGUUCGGCACAUCAUACAACUCCAUGCUCCAUAACAUGUACAUGUUCAUCCAGACCACGGUGUACAACAUCGAUGUUGGGAAAGUCAAGGAGAGUCCUCGUGUUGCUGAAGUAAGGGCAAGGUUACUCAAUUAGUGCUUGAGGUUUUUCCUCCAUCAUGAGGUGCUUUGUUUGUCAGGCUGAAUUAAAAAGUUCCAAUAUGCUUGUUAGGCACUUACGUUUAGUUCAUGGUUACUUGCCUGGAAGAAACCUUCGCCUUAAAUGUCUUCAGACUGGAUGUGGAUCUGUGUUCGGUACUUUUUCUGGUUUUAGGAAGCAUUUAAACACCAAGCACACAGAGUAUUUAGACCAGCAGGCUGAAACUGAUGUUACUUUAAACGGUGCAGGAGAGGUUGUGGCAAGUAAUGUAGAUGAGACGCCAACAUCAUCUGAACCUUCUAGAAAUUCCGAGAAGAGCACUCUUGAUAAGUGUGCUUCUGCUGUUGCACAACUCAAGGCAGCUGGAUUAAGUCAGUCUACUGUAAACAGUUUUGUCUCAUCAAUGGAAGAAGUGUUUUUUGAGAUUCAUAGUCAGGCUAAAGAUGCAGCUUUACAGUGCUUAUCUCCUCAGGACACUGAAAAUAAGAAUAAAAUAGAGGAAUCCUUCAAACAGUUGGAAAAUGGAAAUCCCUUCAAAUGCUUGAAUACAGAAACCAAACGAAACAAACACUUCAAAGAGAAAUGGGGAAACGCUGAACCUGUUGAAAAGGUGCUCGGCACAAGAUUUGACAGCAGAAGAAACAAAUCUACUCGGACAUAUGACCAGGUCAUUAUAACAGAUAAGUUUUCAUAUGUUCCCAUCCUAGAAACGCUUAAGAACAUUUUUGAUAACCUAGAACUGACCAACAUGUUCAAGCCCAGGCACAUUCCCAAAGAAGGUGUUUAUAAAGACAUAAAAGAUGCCAACUAUUUUAAAGAAAAUCUCUUAUUUUCUAAAGAGAACGAUGCAUUGCAGAUUCAACUGUUUUAUGACGACUUUGAGACAGCAAAUCCCUUGGGCUCUAAAAAGGGUAUCCAUAAAUUAGGGGCUAUAUAUUUUACUCUGAGAAAUUUUCCCCCAAUCUUUAAUUCGGCUUUGAUUAAUAUUCAUUUAUGUGCUCUUUUCCACGCACAGGACAUCAAACGUUAUGGUUUUAAUCUGAUACUUGAACCACUGGUGAAUGAUAUAAAAGUACUUGAGACGGAGGGACUUCACAUUUCCAUGUCUGAAAGUGUUAUUCAUGGUACCAUUGUCCAGGUCACUGGGAAUAAUUUGGGUUUGCAUGGUCUGUUUGGCUGCGUGGAAUCAUUUAGUGCUCGCUAUUGCUGUCGUUUCUGUCUCCUUGAGAAAACUUGUUUUCAAACUGUUCUGUGAAGAUAAUCCUGAAGUUGUAUUAAGAACUAUUGAGAUGCACACCCAGCACUGUCAAACUUUACAAACUAGAGACCAGGGAAAGUGUCCUCGUCCCAAGUAGAGAAACAUCUUGUCAAGAAUAUUGCAUCCAUUGUAACGUCCAUUGAUACACGCAAGACUCGGUUCUUUUCACAGAUGUUUAAUGUCGCACUUGUCGUCUUCAAACAGCUGCAUUCUUGCAUUCUUCAGCUUGCCAACACGUUUCACCAUGACAUCAUCACACCCAAACACCAUAGGACUAAAAUACAGACAUACAAUUAGCUCAAGCUAACUUCUGGAAGCUUCCAGGGAAUAAUCAAAGGGUCAAUCAAAGAAACAAAGCAACAGGUACAUUUACAAAAUACUACUAGAGUCCACCUUGUGGUCAAAGAGUGAAAUUACACAUAUAGUCCACAGGGCAAGAAAACACUGCCUGAAGUUACUACCAUGUUCAUGUGUGCAUAUUUCUUCCCAAUAAUAUAUAAAAAAAUAAUUAAUUAUUACAUAACAACCAAGUUAAUUUUGUUGUCUGUGUAUGUGUAUCUUCUCAGACUGGAACAAGCAUCCAAGAACAUCUCGACACCAUUACUACCAGCGCUCAACCAUAUCUCCUGGCUGUUGGAUUAAGGAAGGAUGCAAUCCACCAAUUCUUCAUCAUUCUGGAUAGGAGUGCCAUACCUUGCAGGUCAAUUUCUUCUCUAGGGGCUUUCGAUGAGCUGUUUAAGGCACAUUUUGUGUUCGGCACAUCAUACAACUCCAUGCUCCAUAACAUGUACAUGUUCAUCCAGACCACAGUGUACAACAUCGAUGUUGGGAAAGUCAAGGAGAGUCCUCGUGUUGCUGAAGUAAGGGCAAGGUUACUCAAUUAGUGCUUGAGGUUUUUCCUCCAUCAUGAGGUGCUUUGUUUGUCAGGCUGAAUUAAAAAGUUCCAAUAUGCUUGUUAGGCACUUACGUUUAGUUCAUGGUUACUUGCCUGGAAGAAACCUUCGCCUUAAAAGUCUUCAGACUGGAUGUGGAUCUGUGUUCGGUACUUUUUCUGGUUUUAGGAAGCAUUUAAACACCAAGCACACAGAGUAUUUAGACCAGCAGGCUGAAACUGAUGUUACUUUAAACGGUGCAGGAGAGGUUGUGGCAAGUAAUGUAGAUGAGACGCCAACAUCAUCUGAACCUUCUAGAAAUUCCGAGAAGAGCACUCUUGAUAAGUGUGCUUCUGCUGUUGCACAACUCAAGGCAGCUGGAUUAAGUCAGUCUACUGUAAACAGUUUUGUCUCAUCAAUGGAAGAAGUGUUUUUUGAGAUUCAUAGUCAGGCUAAAGAUGCAGCUUUACAGUGCUUAUCUCCUCAGGACACUGAAAAUAAGAAUAAAAUAGAGGAAUCCUUCAAACAGUUGGAAAAUGGAAAUCCCUUCAAAUGCUUGAAUACAGAAACCAAACGAAACAAACACUUCAAAGAGAAAUGGGGAAACGCUGAACCUGUUGAAAAGGUGCUCGGCACAAGAUUUGACAGCAGAAGAAACAAAUCUACUCGGACAUAUGACCAGGUCAUUAUAACAGAUAAGUUUUCAUAUGUUCCCAUCCUAGAAACGCUUAAGAACAUUUUUGAUAACCUAGAACUGACCAACAUGUUCAAGCCCAGGCACAUUCCCAAAGAAGGUGUUUAUAAAGACAUAAAAGAUGCCAACUAUUUUAAAGAAAAUCUCUUAUUUUCUAAAGAGAACGAUGCAUUGCAGAUUCAACUGUUUUAUGACGACUUUGAGACAGCAAAUCCCUUGGGCUCUAAAAAGGGUAUCCAUAAAUUAGGGGCUAUAUAUUUUACUCUGAGAAAUUUUCCCCCAAUCUUUAAUUCGGCUUUGAUUAAUAUUCAUUUAUGUGCUCUUUUCCACGCACAGGACAUCAAACGUUAUGGUUUUAAUCUGAUACUUGAACCACUGGUGAAUGAUAUAAAAGUACUUGAGACGGAGGGACUUCACAUUUCCAUGUCUGAAAGUGUUAUUCAUGGUACCAUUGUCCAGGUCACUGGGAAUAAUUUGGGUUUGCAUGGUCUGUUUGGCUGCGUGGAAUCAUUUAGUGCUCGCUAUUGCUGUCGUUUCUGUCUCCUUGAGAAAACUUGUUUUCAAACUGUUCUGUGAAGAUAAUCCUGAAGUUGUAUUAAGAACUAUUGAGAUGCACACCCAGCACUGUCAAACUUUACAAACUAGAGACCAGGGAAAGUGUCCUCGUCCCAAGUAGAGAAACAUCUUGUCAAGAAUAUUGCAUCCAUUGUAACGUCCAUUGAUACACGCAAGACUCGGUUCUUUUCACAGAUGUUUAAUGUCGCACUUGUCGUCUUCAAACAGCUGCAUUCUUGCAUUCUUCAGCUUGCCAACACGUUUCACCAUGACAUCAUCACACCCAAACACCAUAGGACUAAAAUACAGACAUACAAUUAGCUCAAGCUAAUUUCAACAAUGAAAAUUUGUUUUCAUUGAAAAAAAAAAAAAAUUUUCUAGGCGACCGCCUAUAUCGCCUAUGCCAAGAGCCGGCCCUGCUUCCGGUGUUUUCCCAGCCAUCUUGAAUUUCACCUGUAGAGUGUUUUACUCUUCUGACACCACUAGAUGGCAGUCUAAUUGGCCACGUAAGUGGACAUCGGGCCCAUUUUAAAAUGAAUUAAGUUUUAUAGUAUAGACAUCCCAAAAUGACAUGUCCACGCAUUUGGGCGCCAGGUCGUAGGAAUGUGGAUACAAAGCACGGUAAACAUUUUUCCUCCUCCAAUAAGGAAACGCACUAAUUUGAAGCCACUGAAGCCUCCCAGUGUCUGUUAAUUUAAUUUUAUUUAAAAUAAACCUACAGAAUAUAAUCCAGUACCAGAGAAGUGUCCAUUCUAUGAAACUCCAGUAAAACUUACAAGGGGAUGUCAGCAGCCACAGGUAAACGCACAGCUAAUUAUGAUUAAGUGUUGUUCGUGAUCUGAGUUGACGUCACAAAUAAGGUAAUAUAGUUGUCUAAUUAAACCUGGGUUAUGUCUGCAACUUUUAUUUAUUAAUUAUUUAAUUUCAUUAUUGUGUCCACACCAAAUGAUUGAAAUAUCCUCAUACUUUAUAUGAGGCUACUUCCUUAUGUUGUCCUCCCACUCUGUAAAGCCAUUUUUCCAGCGAGUCGAACGGUAUGGUACAUAUUUUUUUGUGUUUCCUUUUGGAAUACUACUGAAAUCACCGGUCAACUGCUCCAUUUUUGACCAACAGGUAAAAAAUUCAACACUGUUAGAUUGUAUUCAAGUAAAUUUCCCCAAAUGCAAAGUUGUUCAUUUAACUAGUUUUACUGUUAAAUAAAAGUAGUAUGUGGUUUAUGUUUAUUAGUGGCAUUUUAAGAUUUUGAGAGCUGUAAAGAGUAGACUAGUGACCUAAAGCUAACUCACUGGCAGUGUGUUUCUCUACCAGUAAUCACGUCCAAUAUCCCUUUUGGAUUUUAUUAGUAUUUAUCAAACUUUCCAUACAACUCCGGAAGCUGGAGCCAGAAAAAAGCUAAAAAUACAGCAACAGUGAGAACAAGCACUUCCCCCAUGGACUGAGAUAAAUCCGCAGAAACAAGGACAUUCAUGGCAAUGAAAGCCACAGUAUGUUCUUGUACAUCAAUGUUUUUCUGGUUUACUUAUUAAGCCACCUCCUUCUCAGCCUGACCCCUCUCAUUUUGCUCUAACCCUGACUUCCUGUUUUAUUUUUGGGGAAUGCUCAGUUGGAGCGUGAGAAUGCUCUCAGUGGUGGCUGUGUUGACCCAGUGGUAUUUAAAGCAACAUACACACAUUAACCAACUAUUUUAGUUGCAAGCUUUUCCCUGAGGCAAGGAUAUAAAGCCUGGCAUUUAUUCCCGAUAAUGAGAAAUUUGUGAACACAAUUUGAUAUAUUAAAGUAACUUUACAAUUAAAGUAACUUUACAAUAAGGGUAAAAUGACUUCAAAUUGUAAACUUAUAGAAUAGUUGUAGUAUAACUAAUUUCUCCUUUUUCCCAAGACCUGAUUGAAUGAUGUUGAUUAUUAGCGGUUUUAUUUUAUUUUGAAGAAAACAUUAUGU
This is an RNA transcript of Solea senegalensis (Senegalese sole), 10382 nucleotides long. RefSeq lists it as uncharacterized. NCBI's taxonomy places the organism in Eukaryota, Metazoa, Chordata, Actinopteri, Pleuronectiformes, Soleidae. The record is from RefSeq and is a predicted model, not a curated record. The transcript has 9 exons.